Molecule: transfer RNA, 72 nt
Filed under: Pyricularia oryzae 70-15
Lineage: Eukaryota; Fungi; Ascomycota; Sordariomycetes; Magnaporthales; Pyriculariaceae
Also listed under: 4 other names
Description: tRNA-Gly (CCC) (tRNA-Gly-CCC-3-1)
Rfam family: tRNA
About the family: Transfer RNA (tRNA) molecules are approximately 80 nucleotides in length.
Source: RNAcentral
GUUAGGUUGGAGUAGAGGUUAACUCGUCACCCUCCCAAGGUGGAAACGCGGGUUCGAACCCUGCACCUAGCA